GAUGAACGCUGGCGGCGUGCCUAAUACAUGCAAGUCGAGCGAACAGGCGAGGAGCUUGCUCCUCUGACGUUAGCGGCGGACGGGUGAGUAACACGUGGAUAACCUACCUAUAAGACUGGGGUAACUUCGGGAAACCGGAGCUAAUACCGGAUAAUAUAUUGAACCGCAUGGUUCAAUAGUGAAAGGCGGUUUUGCUGUCACUUAUAGAUGGAUCCGCGCCGCAUUAGCUAGUUGGUAAGGUAACGGCUUACCAAGGCAACGAUGCGUAGCCGACCUGAGAGGGUGGUCGGCCACCCUGGAACUGAGACACGGUCCAGACUCCUACGGGAGGCAGCAGUAGGGAAUCUUCCGCAAUGGGCGAGAGCCUGACGGAGCAACGCCGCGUGAGUGCUGAAGGUCUUCGGAUCGUAAAACUCUGUUAUUAGGGAAGAACAAAUGUGUAAGUAACUAUGCACGUCUUGACGGUACCUGGUCAGAAAGCCACGGCUAACUACGUG
This 497-nucleotide ribosomal RNA is filed under the name uncultured bacterium. Its description in RNAcentral is "partial 16S ribosomal RNA". It matches the Rfam family "Bacterial small subunit ribosomal RNA", at positions 28 to 507 of the family's 1533-position model. The record is from RNAcentral.